RNAcentral lists this long non-coding RNA (7530 nucleotides) under Medicago truncatula (barrel medic). RNAcentral describes it as "long non-coding RNA (MTRU_LNC006089)". The record is from RNAcentral. Lineage: Eukaryota; Viridiplantae; Streptophyta; Magnoliopsida; Fabales; Fabaceae.
UGCUCCUGACACUCAAAUUCCAAUUUAUGCAAACUCCAAGUGGCUUGCUUGGGCCAAAAGCCUUCAGAUAUUCUACCUUUAUCAGCUUCAGAGGUUCAGACACUCGAUGUGGUUUUAGUGGCUUCCUCAAUAAAUAUCUGAUUGAUCGUGGAUUCCGCACCUUCUUCGAUGAUGGGGAGCUUGAAAGAGGGACCCAAAUAACGGUAGAAAUUCCUAAGGCAAUUGAAGAGUCCAGGAUUUUCAUCCCAGUUUUAUCAGAAAAUUAUGCAUCUUCUUCAUUUUGCUUAGACGAACUUGUGAAGAUCCUUGAAGAGUUUAAAAAAGGAAAUGGUCGAUGGGUUUUUCCAGUUUUCUAUUACAUUAAUAUCUCUGAUGUGAAGAAUCAAACUGGCAGUUAUGGACAAGCAUUGGCUGUUCACAAGAACCGUGUCAUGCCUGAGAGGUUUGAGAAAUGGAUCAACGCCUUGGCUUCAGUCGCUGACUUUCGCGGCUGCCAUAUGGAAAGGUAGCUAACCAAUCUUUUCCCCCUUAAUGUUUAUUUUGUUUUUUUAUUUCCAUUUGUAUGAAUAACUUUUUUUUUUUUUAAAUGAUAAAUGUUAGUUGUUAUAUUUUGUUAGUGACUACUGACUGGGAAGAUGAGCUCACAAUCUUUUUAUCACUCCUUUGUCUGAAUAAUAUUAAUACGAUGUCCCUAUUUAAUUAGAAAAGAAAUCCUAGUGGACCUGGUAUUGCUUAAAUAACUAAUAGAAAUAUUGAUUGAUUUGUGAAUGAGUUACCACUUUCUUAGUAGUUAGUUACAACUCCCUUAAGAGUUUGUUAGUAGGUAUCUCUACUAGCUCUAUAUAUAGAUUAUCUCAUGUACGCAUUUACCAUCUAUUAUCAAUCAAUAUGAAUUCGAAGAAAUUUUUCUCAAUAUUAAAUUCUCAAGUUUACUUUUUCUAUGAGGUAAAUCCUAACUGUUUUGGAUCCUGUGAUUUGUAACAAUAAUUGUAUUGUAUGCUAAACAAUUUGAGGAAACCAUGUUAUAUAUUUCAUAACCAUAAUUGAUAUGAUGCAUUUCUUUGAUUGGGGGGCAGGGCAAGGGGUAUAUAUGAAUUCCGGUACAUAUAUGAGAUUAUUCAAGAGGUCUCUAAACAUGUUGCUUGCUCAAUUGGCCUAGAUCAUCGAGUAGAGAAAGUUAUGCGUUAUUUGAAUUCUAGUCCCAGAUCAGACGAUGAUGGAGUUUGUUUGGUAGGGAUAUGUGGAGUUCCUGGAAUAGGGAAAACGACACUAGCUCGUGGAGUUUAUCACUUCGGUGGUGGAACUGAAUUUGACUCUUGUUGCUUUUUUGAUAAUGUGGGAGAGUAUGUAAAGAAACAUGGAUUAGUACAUCUCCAACAGAUGCUUCUCUCUGCAAUAGUUGGACACAACAACAGUACUAUGUUUGAAAAUGUGGAUGAAAGGGUGUGGAAAAUAAAACAUAUGCUCAACCAAAAGAAGGUUUUCUUGGUUCUUGAAGACGUUCAUGAUUCUGAGGUCUUGAAAGCCAUUGUUAAACUGAGUACUUUCUUUGGUUCUGGUAGCAAAGUCAUCAUUACUGCAAGGGAGAAAUGUUUUCUAGAAUUUCAUGGCAUUAAAAGAAUAUAUGAGGUAGAAAGAAUGAAUAAGACAGAGGCUUUUCAAUUGCUUAAUUUGAAAGCUUUUGAUUCUAUGAACAUUAGUCCCUGUCAUGUGACCAUUUUAGAGGGUCUUGAAACUUAUGCUUCUGGGCAUCCAUUCAUAUUGGAAAUGAUAGGUUCCUACUUGAGUGGGAAAAGUAUGGAAGAAUGUGAAUCUGCAUUGCACCAGUAUAAAGAAAUUUCAAACAGAGACAUCAAGAAGAUUCUACAAGUAAGCUUUGACGCUUUGGAGAAAUCUCAGCAGAAUAUGUUAAUUCACAUUGCACUUCACCUCAGAGAACAAGAAUUGGAAAUGGUUGAAAACUUGCUUCAUCGUAAAUAUGGAGUGUGCCCGAAAUAUGAUAUUAGAGUUUUGCUUAAUAAAUCUCUCAUAAAGAUUAAUGAGAAUGGUCACGUGAUAGUACAUGUCUUGACACAAGACAUGGUUAGAGAUGAUAUUCCAGUAGAAGAUCUUGGCUAAAUUAGUAUGAUACGGUUGUUUGAGGUAAGAAUGAUAUGUAUUUAUAUUUUUAGCCCCAAUAUUUCUCUGUCCACAAUGAAGAAAUCGUUGUUUAAUAAUGUAACUUUGUUACCAAUGGAGCAGGAGCACGACAAGCGGCAAAUCCAACCUGCCUUCAGUGAUGGAAGCAUGAUCUAGGAUUCAAUGGAAUUGGAGUAUCAAUCAUCGGAGCAAUGAUGUCUUCCUCCUCUUAUCCUGAUGGUUCAUGGUGUUUCUUAGGAUCCACCCCCUUCUUUGAUGCAUUGAUCUCAUAAUUUGAGUUGCGUCUAACUUAAUUUUACAAAACCAGCUAGUAAGGUAAGAGGUAUCGCUCUUUAUAAACUCUUUUUCGGUCUUACUUCUAUUCAAUGUAAAACUUGGGUUUUUCCAAUACACCCCUCAAACCUAACACUAUUGAGCUUGGUGCGUAGAUAAUUUGAUGGGUGACUUGAAUGGAUAAACUCUGAUACCAUAAUAGAAUUUGAGUUAGGCUGAACUGAAAUUCUAAGAUGGUAUCCGAGACUAUUCAACAUCAAUUGAGUCACCUUCUAUCGGGCGACUCGAGUCACACUCCAGAUGUCUGGUGCUGAGUUUUAGGGUGUGUGUGUUAAGAGUUUUAUAUUGGAUGAGAUAUGACUUGAAAAUGAGGCUACAAGUGGAAGACAUCUCUAACUUUACAAGUUGGUUUUGUAGAGUUGUGUUAGGUCCAACCAAAAUUCUAACUUAUCACGAAUAUUCACUAGUUAAUUUAUGUGGAAACUUUGAUGUGAUUGUCCAUUUUACUCUUUUGAAUCAAUUAGUUACAUUAGCCCUUGAUUUUGUUGCCUGCUUCGUUGUAUGAUUUGUUGGGCUAUGAACCAUACUCACGGUUACAGGAGCAUGACACAAAGCAAGUGUGAACAUGUGUGUGUGAUCCUUUCAAAUUGAGAAUCUCCUGGUUAACUAUAAGCUUAUGAAGGGACAAAAUUCAAUCAGCUUUGUUAUUUUUCUUCUCAUCUUACAGACAGAAAUUGUGCAUGAAAAGGUCUCAUGCAGUUACCAGAGUCUAAAUUUCCUGAUCUGGUGUGUGAAGGGGAUUAUGAGAGGGAAUGCAUUUGAGAGAUAACGGAAGAAAUUUAGUGAUAAAAGAAAAUAUUUAACUGAAUGAGAAAAUAUACGGCAAUUAUAAUUUUAUAUCGACACAGGCAAUUAGAAAGUUAAUUACACUCUUUUCGAUUUCUUUUAUCAAGUAAUCUAGUGACUAAAAGUUCAUCCUUAAAGGUGAAUAAAUGGAGAAUUUAGAGUUUGAACGCUGAUCAUUACAUAUACGGUCAAACUAUUAUUGUAAUCAAAUUAUAUUUAAUUUAGAAACAAAAAUCAAAUUUUUAUUCAUAUUAAUGGUGGAAAAAAAAAAUGGAACAUUCAUUCAUUCAUGGAUAUAAAUAAGGCAUGCACAUUCUUACGUGGAUAUGUCCAAUGAAAUCUCAAUAGAUAAGAGCUUACCAUCAAACUCCAUUUCUUGGAUUGACAUGUGCUUAUGUUGACGUCACAUGCAAUUUUUCAACGGAUUCAUCAUGAAAUUUAUUCCAUAUGCUUAAUGAGUUCACACUUGCAUAACCUAAUAAUAAUACUAAGCUUCAUUUGCCAAAAAAAAAUAAUUGAAAAAUACUAAACUUCAUGGUAAAGUCCAAUAAGUGGUGUGGUGUACACAUUCAAGAAAUCCUGUUUUCAUAAAAAAAGUGAAUAUUUUAAUUUGAUCUCUCAUUGUUCAUUUAGACAAAACAAAUAAAAAUAUCAAAUUAGUCUCUUCACAUUUUCGUAUUAAGGGCAAAUUAUUUCAUUCAUUUGUUACAAUGAAUCACAUAUUAAUUUAUCUUAUGCAUAACAAUGUCGACCGAGACUAGUUUGAGUAUUAAUUUGUAAGAGACUAAAUUGAACCAUAACAAAAUUGUGAAGGAUUAUAUAUAUUUACUCUAAAAUAAUAUACUAUAUAAGUAAGCAACAAACUUAUUCUAAUCUAAAGUAUAUACAUCAUAACAGCUAAACAUUAGAUUACCGCACAAAUGCAUCCUUUGUGAUGAUCCUGGAGACCCUUUGUAUCUCUAAAUCUUUCUUACCUCUAGAAUGAAUUACUUCAAGUCCAGACACUCCUCCUAAUUCAUACUAGGGAGUCUCUUCAUCCCCAUAAGCUUUUUCAGUUCAUCAAACAUCGCCACCUUCAAUGGUUUGGUGAAAAUGUUUACAAGUUGCAUCUCUGUAUUUGCAAUACUCCAAAUCCAGCUUCAUCUUAUUUACUUGAUCUCUCAGAAAAUGGAAUUUUCUCUCGAUAUGCUAUCUUUUGCCAUGGCUUAUAGGACGAUCAGCCAAAUCAAUUGCUAACUUGUUAUCAACAAGCAACUUGAUUCUAUCAACUUCAAAUGCAUUCAGUUCUUCCAAUAACAUUUCAAUCCAUAGUGCCUGACAUGCUGCAUAAGAAGUUGCAACAUAUUUAGCUUCAGAAGAUGAUAAAGCUACUAUGCCCUGCUUCUUAGAACUCCAAGAGAUUGGAGCAGCACCAAUCAUGAAGAGGUAGCAUGUAGUACUCUUUUUAUCGUCUUGAUCUCCUUCUCAGUAAGAAUCUGAAUAUCCAUAGAUUGUUGCCUUCUUAUCAGUGUUCCUUUGAUUAGGAAUUAGCACUCCAUAAUCAAUUAUGUCUCUAUUGUAUCUCAAAAUUCUCUUAAAAGCUAUCAGAUGGAAAAUUUUAGGCUAUUCCAUGAACAUACUAACUAAUCCCACGCCGUGAGCUAUAUAUGGCCUUUUGUUGCACAUAUAUCUGAGUGGGCCUAUAAUUUGUCUGUAUAUAGUAGCAUUCAUAGGUUCAUCAUUUGUGUCUUCACUCAAUUUAGCACCUGCUGUUGGAAAUUUAGGUCUUAAUAUAAACAAAUUUCAUAAUACAUGUUCAACAAUUAUGAAUCAAUAGCGGAAGCAAACAAAACAUUGAACAUGAUUAUGAUCGGAUCUACGACAUGUUUGAUUUAUCAAGAUAUUAAGAAUUAGGGUAUUAGGAAUACCUGGAUAAUUGUGUCUUUUAUUGCCAAAAAAAUUAAACUAGACAUUGGAUAUUAUUCCCCAAAAAUAACUACACAUUAGGUACCCUUGUGCAAAAUUGUAAGUAAUGGAAGUAAUAAAUGAAUCUCGUAUAAGUCUUAUCACCUGUUUUUCUGUAACAAUUGUUGCUCCAAUAAUAUUUGUACAUUCAUUUUUCAAUCUAUUGCCAUCGAUAACCUUUUGAUCUAGGAUGAUUAGAAUGUUUGCUUCUGUUGAAUAGCGACUGGUCAGAAGUUGUAUACCUUUUGUUGGUGGCCUAAAGAACUAUUUAUAUGGCCGAUGAUAUGACUGCUGAUGUAGCCAUUGAGGGGCUGCUACGAAUAUGUAACUAUCAGCCGUUGCUUUGUGUUGAUGGUCAGAAGCCUUACGGAUCUGAAGGAUCCUAAGAGUGUGUUUGGAUGGGGGAAUGUUUUGAGGGAAUUAAACUAUUUGAGGUGAGUUCAAACAAUAAAAUUCACCUUGAAGUAGUUGAAUUCCCUCAAAACAUUACUUUCCCUCAAAAUAUUCCCCCAUCCAAACACACUCUAAGCCUUUAGACCAUUGGAGAAGUUGGUCCAGUAGAAUGUGGCUGAAGGUGUAACUAUUGAUGUAUUUGGGCCUAUGCUCGGUCCGGAGCACUUUGGGAUUUGUAUUGACCGAUUUUAGAGUCUUGGACCGGUUCAGAACACCUUUCACCAUGAUUAAGGUAGUGUCAGUGUCACAUGUUAAGUUAAUAUUUCAAGCACCACUCCAAUGCAUAGCACUAACUCUCCAUCUUCUUAAUUUGAUGAAGAACAAUAACAAAACCACAACCAAGGCCUGUAAGUUACACCAUUCCUCCUCGGUAGUUGCAGAAUCCAGGUUCUGCAUAAAUCACACCAAAAUUAAUGCAUUAUUUAUUCCAUGUACAUCAUCAUCACACAUUAAGUUAGCCUCACCCUCUUCAACUAUAAAAUUAGCAACACGAUCGCUGAAUACAUAUAUAUGGUUUUGAUGUUUUUUACUUUCUCUCAUUCUCAUCAUACACAAACACAGGUUUUUUUUUUUUUUAAAAAAAAAAAACCAAAAUAAUUUUAUUAGAUAAACUAAACAUACCACCAAAGGAGUACUUGGGAGUUGUUGUUUGUUUUUGUUGAUGUUGUUUUGUUUGUUCCAUGUGUACAAAACACUACUCAAUGGUUCUGUGUCUGUUCGUGAGCUUGCAUUAAUUUAUUUCCACGGUAACAUUUUGCUAAAUGAUACUAAUCAGGAGUGUGAUUCAUUUUUUCUGUCCUUCUCUUAUUUGAUCCAUCGCUACAAAUUAACAUGAAUAUAACAUGAAAAUUGAUUAUUUUCUCCUCUGGUUUCCUCUCUUUUCUCUGUUAUUUUUGUUUUUUUCUUCAUUAUUGUUUGUGUGAUCUAUGAUCUAGUAUGCUCUGCGUGAAAUUGUUUCAUCAUCUUAAUGUUUCUAGUUCUUGUUGUAUUGAUUUCUAAAUUGUUUUUAGGAUAUGAGGAUGAUUUGUUCUGGCUUAUAGGCUUGAAUCCAUGAUGAUUUUCUCUGCUUUGACUCUUCCUUUUGAUGAUUGAGCUUGGGAUAUGUCAUUUUAGAUUGAUUUUCUAUACUAUGACGGCGUAAACCUUUUUUGUACAAGCGUCCAAUUAAAUCAAGCAAAGUUGAUAAUUGCAGAGAUGUUGUGGGAACUAACUUAAAAUAGUGACAUCAUGAAGUGAUUUGAUUGGAUACAUGUGUAAAAAAGUUUUACAGUGUAUACAAAUCAAAUCCCAUUUUAAUAGAGAUUGAUUUCUAUACUCUGAUUGUGUACAUUUAAAUUUAUUUAUACUAUAAUUACAAAAAAAUGAAAGACAUUGAUACCUUUCUAAUUUUUGCUAGAAAAAAUAGAGUUAACAUAUACCAAGUUACGCGGUAUGCCAUUUUGUGGCAUGAGACGAGACAUCAUGGUAUGAGAUGCUAAUAGUCUCCAGAAAGGGCCUGGCUGAAGAGCUCCCCAACUUAGGCUUGAAAAGGAUGUUUUGGUGGUGUCAAGCGUCAACUAUAGUCGAUCAUAGUUUGGUCCAUUUCUGUCUCAAAACAUAUUGUCACAGUUUGCACUGCUCCUGACACUCAAAUUCCAAUUUAUGCAAACUCCAAGUGGCUUGCUUGGGCCAAAAGCCUUCAGAUAUUCUACCUUUAUCAGCUUCAGAGGUUCAGACACUCGAUGUGAUUUUAGUGGCUUCCUCAAUAAAUAUCUGAUUGAUCGUGGAUUCCGCACCUUCUUCGAUGACGGGGAGCUUGAAAGAGGGACCCAAAUAACGGUAGAAAUUCCUAAGGCAAUUGAAGAGUCCAGGAUUUUCAUCCCAGUUUUAUCAGAA